RNAcentral lists this small nucleolar RNA (230 nucleotides) under Metarhizium album ARSEF 1941. Its description in RNAcentral is "Small nucleolar RNA snR191". It matches the Rfam family "Small nucleolar RNA snR191". Lineage: Eukaryota; Fungi; Ascomycota; Sordariomycetes; Hypocreales; Clavicipitaceae. The record is from Rfam by way of RNAcentral.
ACCCAAUGUCUUUUGUCAGGACACCUUCCUUUCUUUUUUCAUGGAGGCCGUCUGUUACAGCGUUGGGAUAUCAAUCACGCCACACUCGUCUGUCAUUGACUCCUAGUUGGUGGCUUGGUGUGUGCCGUUCUGGCACUAUCAUGAGUUGGUUUGUGUGUUCGAUGAGUUGAAAUUUCCAUAUCCUUACUGGAAAUUUGACUGGAGAUUUCUUAGUGAUGACACACACAUUA